UUUCGAGUUGUAGUCCAACGAGUUUUGACAAUUGGAGAAAAACGACUGUCGCCGCGAAAACAUGUGCGAGAUUUCAACGCAAAACGAUACGCGACACCGUUUCAGCUUUUUUAAUCGCCUUUUGAUGAUCGGUAGCAUAACUUUAGCAACCAGCACACCAGCAGGCACAUGAAGUAAGAAAUAACGGUUGUCUAUUUCGUGUAAUUUAAAAUAUUAAUUUCCCAUUAUUUAAAAUCUCAAUUCGGAUAUCGUCGAACGAUCGGUCGUAAAAUUCUACUCUAAAUGAAUAACGUGGCACACGAUUUGUUGUAAAUUUGUCACUAUCAACCGCCAUUAUAAGACGAUGACAAAAAAAAAAAAAAACAAAAAAAUGCUAAAACGACAACACAUAUCGGUUUAAGUUAAAAAUGUACACGCGUUUUUACGGCUGUAGUAGGAUUUAUUUAUCAUCGUACGGAAUGUGUUAACAGUUAUCACUUAAAAACGUCAAUUUUUGACCAUGUUUAAAAAAAAAAAAGUACCGUUUUUAAACUUGAUAUGCAUAUUGUACGGAUUACGAAUAAAUCAUAUCAAAUACAAUUGUUAUUUUAUUUUUUUUUCCACUCUGUAUGUUCGUAUUG
Cinara cedri is the source of this 620-nucleotide non-coding RNA. The record is from the annotation of a GenBank genome assembly. NCBI's taxonomy places the organism in Eukaryota, Metazoa, Arthropoda, Insecta, Hemiptera, Aphididae.